This is a long non-coding RNA of Manacus vitellinus (golden-collared manakin), 2247 nucleotides long. The record is from Ensembl. NCBI's taxonomy places the organism in Eukaryota, Metazoa, Chordata, Aves, Passeriformes, Pipridae.
GAGAAUUACUGCACUAAAAGUUACUCUUUGUGUCUCUUUGCAGGCUACCUGGCAGUAUGGCCUUUUUGCUGUCGUUGCUCAUUCAGGAUCAGCUAGUUGUGGACAUUACUGUGCCUACAUUCAAAGCCUCACAGAGUGUAAAUGGUAUUGCUUUAAUGAUUCUCAGGUUUGCCAGGUGUCAUGGGAUGAUGUUAAAUGCACCUAUGGACAUUCCAACCUCCACUGGGGAGAAACGGCCUAUCUCUUGAUUUACAUGAAAAAACAUCCUCAGCAGCCCUAUCCAGGGCUAUCAGAGUGUCUGGGAAAGCUGUGAGUUGUCCAUGGAGCUCAGCACCUCUGUGCAAGAGUGGACAUGCACAAAUGUUCCAUCAGAAAGACAUUUUGCACUCAGCAACCUCUAUGUUCACAUUUAUUUAUGAAAAACACUCAGCUAGAAGAAGGAUCUAAGAACUGUUGCAACUAAAACUUUUUCUUUCAUGUAUUUUUUAUAUUUAUGUGAUUCUACAUAUUCAUUUCGUCUUUAAAAGAUAGUGAGUUAGUCCUUGUCUCUGCUGACUUAGCAGUUUCCUUAAUGCUGAUGCCUAAAUUCCCAUACAGGGGAAGUGUUUGACCUGAAAACCUGUGUGAUAUUCCAGAGAGGUGUGUGGUAUGACUGGGGAGCACUGAUAGCCAUACCUGACCAGUAAGAGCUUGAGACUUUGCCCUUUUAGCACCAUGUGAGAUGCUGGCAAGCUGGACAGGAGACCCCAGAAGUCACCAGAAACAUCUGCAGGAAGGAUCAAAACCUUUAUGCCACAUGCCAGUGGCUCUUACUCCUUAAAACCUCCCUGAAAAUGAGUCACUACAGGGGCUGAGAUGUAUUUGAAAGUUGGCAUCAGCACAAUGAGGUGUUUUAAAUCAGGAGCUUAUGCAGCAGUUCUGAUUUACAAGAUGAAUUCAUAUAUAUUUAUGCAGGUGAUUAUUGUUUUAACACACUUAUCAGGUGUUUAUAUGCAUUUUCUUUCCUGUAGAGAGGGAAAUAUUCAGAGUAACAGAGAUUCUGGAGCUAAUUAGUGAUUUUGCACGAUGCAGGGCAAUACACUGUGACAGGGGAAGUAAGACGCCUUGCUGUGCUUGAACUUUUGGGAUUUUCCUUAAGUAUUCUUCACCUGGUUGCCAGCUGGAAUUGUCUUGCCCUCUUCUUUCCCUUUCUGCCCUUGAGGUGGGAAUGUCCCUCAAGCAGAAAAUGUUCUAGAGAGAACAACUGUAUAAAGAAAGUGGGUAAUUUUUCAACCUCCUGUUGAGUCCCGUUACUCUGUGCUGUUGGUUCCACCUGUACUCCCGUGGCAAGACCACACAGAGGGAAAAUGUAAAGAGAGCUAGAAAGGAAGGUUGGUCACAUGUGACAGCGUGAAGAAGAGCGUUCUGAAGGCCCAUCACAAGGCUCCAUUGUGAGGAAAGUCCAAAACUUUGAUUGUGAUGCUUUUAAUGCCCUGGUGGCAUUAAGCCUUGUUGUACCACAUCCUGUGAAGGGAUUGAGGAUUCCAGCAGUUUGACUGUAUCUUUACAAGGGUGCUAUUUUUGCGGGACUGAGCACAUUUUAAAAUUACUAAUGUAGAUUUAAUAGCAGCUGUGUGUAACUUAAUUAUAUUUUGAUAGUGAUGAUGAAGUUCACAAAUCAUGUCUGUUUUCGUGUUGGUAUGUGGAAGGUAAAUUGAGAAAUUAUGGGGCAUAGCUAUGAAAUUACACUUUCAUAGUGCAGCAGGUAUUUAUUUUGCUCUAUAGCAAGGUCCGUUAUUCUGCUCAGCUCUCUUUUAUUUAUACUGCUCCUUCUUUGUUAAAAUAUCCCAGUGUGUUGUUUGUCACCAGGAUGAGGAAUUUUCACUCUAUUCACAUACAAGAAUGUGUUUCAAUCUUUCUAAAGCACCUUGCAAUGGAUGAGUAAGAAAACCAAGUUCCUGUUUGCUUUGUCCUGCACUUUGCCGAAGAGAAGGAGCAGAAAAACAAUGCACUUCCAGAAACUGGGAAAUUAAUGGGUUAAGAGACUGACAAGACAUUUCUAGUUAGAUAUAACUUGAAAUUUGAAAACUUAUGCUUAUGAAAAAUGCCUUAAAUGUGUCAUAACCUUCCAGGGAUGUUACCCAUCAAGGAAGCAAUUGCUGAGAUACAUUAAGAAUCUUUCCAGUCAGUGAAAAAAUAUUACUCUCAAUGAAAAGUAGUAAGUGUUUUUUGAAUAAAAUACUAAGUGAUAAGUUCCCUAGAAAAUGA